RNAcentral lists this ribosomal RNA (1667 nucleotides) under metagenome. Its description in RNAcentral is "bacterial LSU rRNA". It matches the Rfam family "Bacterial large subunit ribosomal RNA", at positions 810 to 2461 of the family's 2925-position model. The record is from RNAcentral.
UGUGGCUGGGGGUGAAAGGCCAAUCAAACCGGGAGAUAGCUGGUUCUCCCCGAAAGCUAUUUAGGUAGCGCCUCGUGAACUCAUCUUCGGGGGUAGAGCACUGUUUCGGCUAGGGGGUCAUCCCGACUUACCAACCCGAUGCAAACUACGAAUACCGAAGAAUGUUAUCACGGGAGACACACGGCGGGUGCUAACGUCCGUCGUGAAGAGGGAAACAACCCAGACCGCCAGCUAAGGUCCCAAAGUCAUGGUUAAGUGGGAAACGAUGUGGGAAGGCACAGACAGCCAGGAUGUUGGCUUAGAAGCAGCCAUCAUUUAAAGAAAGCGUAAUAGCUCACUGGUCGAGUCGGCCUGCGCGGAAGAUGUAACGGGGCUAAACCAUGCACCGAAGCUGCGGCAGCGACACUAUGUGUUGUUGGGUAGGGGAGCGUUCUGUAAGCCUGCGAAGGUGUGCUGUGAGGCAUGCUGGAGGUAUCAGAAGUGCGAAUGCUGACAUAAGUAACGAUAAAGCGGGUGAAAAGCCCGCUCGCCGGAAGACCAAGGGUUCCUGUCCAACGUUAAUCGGGGCAGGGUGAGUCGACCCCUAAGGCGAGGCCGAAAGGCGUAGUCGAUGGGAAACAGGUUAAUAUUCCUGUACUUGGUGUUACUGCGAAGGGGGGACGGAGAAGGCUAUGUUAGCCGGGCGACGGUUGUCCCGGUUUAAGCAUGUAGGCUGGUUAUCCAGGCAAAUCCGGAUAAUCAAGGCUGAGGUGUGAUGACGAGGCACUACGGUGCUGAAGUAACAAAUGCCCUGCUUCCAGGAAAAGCCUCUAAGCAUCAGGUAACAUCAAAUCGUACCCCAAACCGACACAGGUGGUCAGGUAGAGAAUACCAAGGCGCUUGAGAGAACUCGGGUGAAGGAACUAGGCAAAAUGGUGCCGUAACUUCGGGAGAAGGCACGCUGGUGUGUAGGUGAAGUCCCUGCGGAUGGAGCUGAGACCAGUCGAAGAUACCAGCUGGCUGCAACUGUUUAUUAAAAACACAGCACUGUGCAAACACGAAAGUGGACGUAUACGGUGUGACGCCUGCCCGGUGCCGGAAGGUUAAUUGAUGGGGUUAGCGCAAGCGAAGCUCUUGAUCGAAGCCCCGGUAAACGGCGGCCGUAACUAUAACGGUCCUAAGGUAGCGAAAUUCCUUGUCGGGUAAGUUCCGACCUGCACGAAUGGCGUAAUGAUGGCCAGGCUGUCUCCACCCGAGACUCAGUGAAAUUGAACUCGCUGUGAAGAUGCAGUGUACCCGCGGCAAGACGGAAAGACCCCGUGAACCUUUACUAUAGCUUGACACUGAACAUUGAGCCUUGAUGUGUAGGAUAGGUGGGAGGCUUUGAAGUGUGGACGCCAGUCUGCAUGGAGCCGACCUUGAAAUACCACCCUUUAAUGUUUGAUGUUCUAACGUUGACCCGUAAUCCGGGUUGCGGACAGUGUCUGGUGGGUAGUUUGACUGGGGCGGUCUCCUCCUAAAGAGUAACGGAGGAGCACGAAGGUUAGCUAAUCCUGGUCGGACAUCAGGAGGUUAGUGCAAUGGCAUAAGCUAGCUUGACUGCGAGCGUGACGGCGCGAGCAGGUGCGAAAGCAGGUCAUAGUGAUCCGGUGGUUCUGAAUGGAAGGGCCAUCGCUCAACGGAUAAAA